UACGUAGGGGGCUAGCGUUGUCCGGAAUCAUUGGGCGUAAAGCGCGUGUAGGCGGUCCGGUAAGUCCGCUGUGAAAGUCGAGGGCUCAACCCUCGAAUGCCGGUGGAUACUGUCGGGCUUGAGUACGGGAGAGGCGAGUGGAAUUCCUGGUGUAGCGGUGAAAUGCGCAGAUAUCAGGAGGAACACCGAUUGCGAAGGCAGCUCGCUGGAACGGUACUGACGCUGAGACGCGAAAGCGUGGGGAGCGAACAGG
This 253-nucleotide ribosomal RNA is filed under the name uncultured bacterium. Its description in RNAcentral is "partial 16S ribosomal RNA". It matches the Rfam family "Bacterial small subunit ribosomal RNA", at positions 524 to 776 of the family's 1533-position model. The record is from RNAcentral.